This 376-nucleotide ribosomal RNA is filed under the name uncultured bacterium. RNAcentral's name for it is "bacterial SSU rRNA". It matches the Rfam family "Bacterial small subunit ribosomal RNA", at positions 521 to 896 of the family's 1533-position model. The record is from RNAcentral.
UAAUACGAAGGGGGCUAGCGUUGCUCGGAAUGACUGGGCGUAAAGGGCGCGUAGGCGGUUCGGUUUGUUAGGUGUGAAAUUCCUGGGCUUAACCUGGGGGCUGCACUUAAAACGGCCGGGCUUGAGUUCGGAAGAGGGUCGUGGAAUUUCCAGUGUAGAGGUGAAAUUCGUAGAUAUUGGAAAGAACACCGGUGGCGAAGGCGGCGACCUGGUCCGAUACUGACGCUGAGGCGCGAAAGCGUGGGGAGCAAACAGGAUUAGAUACCCUGGUAGUCCACGCUGUAAACGAUGUGUGCUGGAUGUUGGGUGACCUAGUCACUCAGUGUCGUAGCUAACGCGGUAAGCACACCGCCUGGGGAGUACGGCCGCAAGGUUG